GCAUCGGAGUCCGAUUUAGCCAUGCUAGUUGUGCGGGUUUAGACCCGCAGCGGAAAGCUCAGUAACACGUGGCCAAGCUACCCUGUGGACGGGAAUACUCUCGGGAAACUGAGGCUAAUCCCCGAUAACGCUUUGCUCCUGGAAGGGGCAAAGCCGGAAACGCUCCGGCGCCACAGGAUGCGGCUGCGGUCGAUUAGGUAGACGGUGGGGUAACGGCCCACCGUGCCCAUAAUCGGUACGGGUUGUGAGAGCAAGAGCCCGGAGACGGAAUCUGAGACAAGAUUCCGGGCCCUACGGGGCGCAGCAGGCGCGAAACCUUUACACUGUACGAAAGUGCGAUAAGGGGACUCCGAGUGUGAAGGCAUAGAGCCUUCACUUUUGUACACCGUAAGGUGGUGCACGAAUAAGGACUGGGCAAGACCGGUGCCAGCCGCCGCGGUAAUACCGGCAGUCCGAGUGAUGGCCGAUCUUAUUGGGCCUAAAGCGUCCGUAGCUGGCUGAACAAGUCCGUUGGGAAAUCUGUCCGCUUAACGGGCAGGCGUCCAGCGGAAACUGUUCAGCUUGGGACCGGAAGACCUGAGGGGUACGUCUGGGGUAGGAGUGAAAUCCUGUAAUCCUGGACGGACCGCCGGUGGCGAAAGCGCCUCAGGAGAACGGAUCCGACAGUGAGGGACGAAAGCUAGGGUCUCGAACCGGAUUAGAUACCCGGGUAGUCCUAGCUGUAAACGAUGUCCGCUAGGUGUGGCGCAGGCUACGAGCCUGCGCUGUGCCGUAGGGAAGCCGAGAAGCGGACCGCCUGGGAAGUACGUCUGCAAGGAUGAAACUUAAAGGAAUUGGCGGGGGAGCACUACAACCGGAGGAGCCUGCGGUUAU
Molecule: ribosomal RNA, 873 nt
Filed under: Halobacterium salinarum
Lineage: Archaea; Methanobacteriati; Methanobacteriota; Halobacteria; Halobacteriales; Halobacteriaceae
Description: bacterial SSU rRNA
Rfam family: Archaeal small subunit ribosomal RNA
Source: RNAcentral